UCCUAAUCAGCGCGAGCCGCAGCCCCCGCUGACGCGAAUCGCGACCUCCGCGCGACCCUCCGCUGACCCGGUCUCCCUGCCGCCUGGAGCGAUGAAACCGCACCCUCGCGCCCAAGCCCAGACUCAAAACUCAGCCAAACCCCUCGCAUCUUCCUGUGGUGGCGUCCUCCUCCAACGUUGGUCCGUGUUUGUCUCCAUGGCGCUCUCGAAUGCCUAAGCCAAGGCCGACCGCGUCGAGCUGGUGCUGCAGGUGCUCGACGAAACGCCCCGCAGGACCGAGUUCUCGUAGACCAUGCUCGUCGAUUCGCUGGCGAGGGCCGGCCGACAGCACGACGCAUUCUGCCUCUCUGCGGAGAUGCGGGCCUCCAGCGUGGCCUGCGACUCCCACGUCUGCGUAUGUCACUACGGGAAGAGCUACAUAUUCAUCGUAAAUUAUGUGCAAAGGUUAGUCUGUUAAGCAUCUUGCAGAUAUCUGCAAGGAUUCUAUAUGAUUCCAGAGUAGAUGUAAUAGGUAUUCAGGUAAAUACAAAUGAAGUUAUACUGCACUGUUUUGUCAAUCGUGUUUAGAGAUUUAGAUUGGUAAGCCAUUUAUGUACGUUGCAAAUACAUUCUUUCUGUUCCCUAUAUCAUAAUGUAAACAAUUAUGUACCUUCCUCUCUGCAAGUCUGUACAGCAGUACAGACAAGCUGAAGACUCAGAGGUGUAGAGACGACAUGGUGUUUGCUGAGGGUUGCAAGACCCACUGUUGCAUAGGCUGAUCUAUGCGUCACACCAUGAGGAGUAGACUGAUCCAGCACGCACAAGGUCUGGUACCUCUAGAUUAGCAAAGCCACAGAACAUUGAACGGCACGGCAGGUCCUGCGGUGACUUCUCCAUCAAAUUCGGAUCAAAUAGAGUGAUGAACUUGGAUGCUUCAAAUCGUGGCUUAUCCAUCAGCUUCGAAUCGGAUAGAGUACUACUGAACAUGGACAAUAUAAAUCACAGUUUCUCCAUCAUCUUCAUAUCAAACAGGAUACUACUGAACUUGGAUACUAUAAAUCGAAAACCAUCUAGGGUAUACAUCCUUAAUACUCAGAUCAGACCUUGAGCGAUUGUAAUCUAACCUAUUUGAUUGUGAGGGGCAGGCAACAGGUUCGAUUGUGCUGCUCGGUUUCGCAGAACGCGAAGAAAAGGUACAAGAAGGGCCUGGCCUGGUAUGUGCGCUGAGUUGGUAAUUUAUGGGGCGUCGAGGAGCGCAUCCCGUUUAUUUGUAUUCUAUUAAGAUAUUCUAAACCGAACGGCACGGUCAGACCUGUUCCAACCCGAGGGGCCAGCACUGCUCCAACUCGGGAUCACACGUCUGUAUUCUAUAUCUUUUGUAGAAAAACUUAUUAAACUUUUGGUCUUCACUUUUCUUCUUGUCAGGCUGAACUGAUUUAUCUCAUAGUCGGAGGUGAUUUUUUUCUUAUGAUUAUGAUCCUAAAGGGGAUUCAGUUGGACCGUGCUGUUUUGCUAUAACUGUAAAGUUAGGGUGCCAAAUAGUUGAUGCACCUGCUUCAUCAUCUAGAAAAAAGAAAUAAAGGAGAUUUCUGAUGAGUUUCAUUUUUUCUUUUUAUGGAACCUUCGUUGGUGGCUCGAGCAACAUAUAAAGGUGAUCAUCACUUCCGACGAGUUGAGUUUUAUUACUUACUAUUUCCUUCCUUGCGAUUCUUAGCUGCUAGGAGCUUUCAAGUCGUUCCCUCCCAUCAUCUAGAGUAAUUUCAGAUCUCUACAGGUUAUAUAAGUAACUUCCCUUAUGCAAACCUGUAUGUUAGUUGUGUAUAUAGAAUUUUGAAGAGAAAAAGUAUUUUUUCGAAUACAGACUUUGUUCUGCCCUUGAAUCCUCCAUUUUAAAUAGCAGCUUGAUGUACUAGUUCUCAGGUCAUGCUGCUAUAAAAUAAUUGGAAGGCCAUAGUUUAUUUGAUUGAAUUGAGGAUCUUAAAUAUCCCAUUCUUAGCUAGAGAAGGAACUUUUUGCUUUUUUCUAGGUUCAUAUUAAGAUACAACUGCAUCAUACCAAAUAGAGCCAUACUUUUGGGAGGAAACUAAUCAUAACUGCAGAGAGCAACAAAUAGAAGAGGAGCUCAAAGUGUGGAACUGAUUUUAGGAUGUUUCAUUUAGAGUUUGAUGUCAACUCCCUCCACAUAUUGGGUUAUUGUUGUAGAAAAGGUUCUUUUUGCGUUCACAUAUUUCAUUUUUUAUUGUUUUUUACAAAUGCUUUGUUGGAUACUGCUUUUCAGUGUAGAAGCAGUAUUGAAUAGCAUCCUCAGUUUGGAAAGCUAGAUGCUUAGCAUCAUAUACUAACAAAUUACUUUUACAAGAAUACAAAAGUAAUAAUUGAUUUUCAUAUGGCAAUAUCAAGUAGUACUGUAUGUACCAUAUUUAUGCAGUACUUUCGGGGAUGGCAUGUUGUUUAAAUCUUUAUGCGUGUGAUAUUAUCUUUGUGUGGUAUGUUCAUGCACAUCUUUUGAUUUCUUAUCUUCUACCGUCACCUUCCAUCUAUCAAGGAUAGUGACUACUGCACGUAAAAUUGUGCAAAGGCCACCUUACUUCGCAACAGCACCUAGGGCACUUAUUCAUGAUAGUUAACGUUAGCCUUAUUUUUUGGGUUGUAUGAAUCAAGAGCUGCACAUUAGUCUAUUUCUUUUUUUUCUUUUAUUCAAUCUCUGCUAUGCGGUGUGACAAUUUGUAUUUUCAAUUGAAAACUUCGUGUGGGCAAUAAAUGCCAUUAGUUGUUCAGCAUGGACUCUUGUGUACAUAAUGCUACAAUUUUGGUAUAUUUAUAAGGGAGUACAUUUUGCUUCUACCUCCUAUUCAAGUUAGUUGUAUCCAUAACAACAUGAUAGCUUUUAGUAUUCUAUCAUAAAGUUGUUCACUGGUUCCCAUAGAGUUUUUGUUUGCUUGCAUUUCUAUUAGAUAGAAAUAAAUCAUGGUAUCGUGCGAUUUAUCUGACUAUAUGCUGAGUUGUAUGGAUGUUUUCUUUUCAAGGUGAACUGUUGGAAAUAAUAUUGAUCUUGGUUCUCCGUUGCUUAUGAUUCAUGGUACUUGAGAACUCCUGGUCAUGUGAGAUACUAAUAUUUUUAUUUUGAUACAGUUAAAGUACCAGUGUGCAGAGGAGGCAUGUAGGUGAUGCUUUUCAAAAUAACAAGGUACGACUAUGUCAAAUAAUGACCUUAAUGCAGAGUAAAUAGGAUAAACAGUCUUGAUGUUUGGUACGCUGGAAUUUUUUUGUAAGAGAAAUCAUUAAACAUAAAUGUUCGGACUUUGUGAAGUCUCACAUUUAACAAAAUCUGGGAAGGCACACACCCAUAUACAUUAUUGUCAUAGCCCAAACAAGAAAGCAUCUAGAUUCACUUGCAUUGCCAUGGCCAAGUGAUGAAUUUUCAUGAUGCUCCUAUGGCAUAAAACAAAUUAAAAAGGUUGUCAUUAAUCAUUGUUGGAGUUGUGGUAAAACAUAUACCAAAUUAUUUGGUUCAUGUGAACUGAUCUAGAAACCAUAUUCUGUAUCAGCAACUCAGCGCACCAGCUGACUAGAGAGCAAAUGUAAGCUUACCACAAACACUAAAAGCCUUCUUCCAACUGGUAUGGCAGUUCCAGUUGGCUUCUCCCUAUGUGUGUUUCAAAUCAAAAUGUGCAAGAGACACAUACUCAAUUGAAGACCCAUUCUUGGUGCCUAAAACAUUAAUAAACGCUUAUGUAGUUCCAAACCUCAUGACAUAACAUAGCAAGUUGAUUGCAGUUAGCUUACCACUAAGAGGGCAUUUUUUGUAACAGUCGAUGGUGCCUGGCGCGAUUUCACCAAUUCAGGACCCGCUUUCAUCAUUUGUGUAUGGAGUCCUGAAUGAUGGAUGAUUACUACCCAGCCAUGUACCAGCAGUUGACACUGGAUUCGUUCAAAAAGAUCUUGUGAAUUCUACAAUAAACUACAAACUUAUAAUUUCCUAAACCUGUAUUUGACUAUUUGUUAGCAUACUGCACAGUAGUGAAAGCAGAGACAUUCAGUAGUUAGAUGGGUAGAAACUUUUUUUUUUCUGGAAUACGCAGGAGAGCUGCGCAUCUUUGUAUUAAUAGAAGAAAAGAAAAAAGGGGGGGGGGGAGAAACCCCAAUACAACACACACACCACUAGAGACUAACUACGGAUCACCGACUAAAACAUGGAAGAAACACGACCCACACCGCUGUAUUAAACCAGCAACUCAUCGACUUGGAGGAAGGACAAGGCCUUGGCACCAGUCAUGGACCAGAGCACCGCCUCUUCCCUAGCCAUCCUAAUGGCCAUGACCAAGUUGGGAUUACAACCAUCAAAAACACACCUAUUCCUAUGCUUCCAAAUGGUCCAAGCACCUAGAAUCACUAAAGAAUUGAAACCAUCUCUCACAAGAUCCGAUGCCCGGGAGCUGCUAGACUUCCACCACGACUCAAAGGAUUCCUCAUGAACUGGAUACAGAUCCCGCAGCCCCACUGAAUUAAGAAAAUCAAACCAGAACUGCUUAGCAAAAACACACUUGACCAGCAAAUGAUUUAUGGUUUCAGCCUCUUGGUCGCACAAGGGGCACUGUUCUGGUCGGUCUAGCCCUCUUUUUCUGAGCCUGUCAGCAGUCCAGCACCUAUUAUGUUCCACAAGCCAAAUAAAGAACUUGCACUUCCCAGGAGCCCAAGAUUUCCACACCCGCUCUGCUGGUUCGAACUGAACUGAACCAAGGAAUAGAGCAUUAUAAGCAGAACUAGAAGAAUAAUCACCUGAAGCGCUGAAUUUCCAUAAAUGACGAUCCCUUAUUCCAGGCUGGAGCACAACAGCAUCAAGUACUUCACAAAGUUCCAGGAAUUCAGCGAUGACUCUGACUGAGAUUGCCCCUUGCACAUCGGAGUGCCAAAGGAAAUUAGGGAGAGCAUCUUUGACCAAUCGACCAUUGGCAAGACGCAAAGGCACCAACUCAAACAAAGCAGGAGCUAUGUCCUUAAUACAUCUCCCCUCCAACCAUCUAUCCUUCCAGAAAAGGGUAUUAGCUCCAUCACCGAGCUUAGUAAUAAUGGCUGCAGCAAUCAGAUUUUUAACCACCUUACAAACAUGAAUGGGGAAGUCUGCCCAAGGCCUACUGGGGUCUGUUUUCUGCAGCCACGGCCAGCGAGCUCUCAAAGCCCAACAGAGGUUCUUUAACUCACUAAUCCCCAGACCACCCAACUCCUUGGGACGGGUAACCUUAGGCCAAGCCAAGAGGCAGUGACCACCACAGAACUCUUUCCUACCCCUCCAGAGGAAACCCUUCCUCAGCUUAUCGAUUGCUUUGAUGGCCCAAACAGGAAGGUCAAGUGCCAGAGCUGCAUAAAUCAUCUUAGACGUCAUGACAAACUGCACAUGAAUAGCUCUACCAGCCCUGGUCAUAAGUUCAGCUUUCCAUCCUGGCAAAAGGCUGGCCACUCUAUCAACAAUAGCCUGAACCUGGUCCCUUGUGAGUUUCUUGGGAGACAGAGGCAAACCGAGGUACUUACAGGGAAAAACUGAAAUAUUGCAUGGCAGCAAGUCCUGUAAACAAUUCACCUCUUCUUCCCCACAACAGAUUGGAAACACACUGCUCUUCUGGACAUUAGUCCUUAGACCUGAAGCUGAACCAAAUAACUGAAGAAUAUCCAUAACCAUACUGAUAUCUGGGGUAGUAGGACAUAGAAAUAACACUGCAUCAUCCGCAUACAACGAGAAACGGUGCUGCAUACUCCUAGAAGAAAGAGGCUGAAGAAACCCUUCCUCAGAGGCUCGCUGCACAAGCAGAUUCAAGACAUCCAUUACAAGAAUAAACAACAUAGGCGAUAGAGGAUCACCCUGCCUCAGUCCACGUUGAUGCCCAAUACAAUCCCCUGGCAGACCAUUUAAUAAAAUUUUGGUAGAAGAUGAAGCUAACAGCCCGCAUAUAAUAUCACACCAGAGCUGUCCAAAACCCAGUUUUUUCAAGACCUCGAGAAGAAAGGCCCACGAUACCGAGUCAAAAGCCUUUGAAAUGUCAAGUUUGAGAAGGAUACGAGCCUGCUUCUGACAAUGUAAGAAUCUGGUCGUCUGCUGGACUAGCAUGAAGUUGUCAAGAAUAAACCGUUUUUUUAUAAAAGCGGUUUGAUUGGGGGAAACCAUACGUUGCAGCCGGUCUGCUAAUCUGUUAGCCAACAAUUUAGUUACCACUUUCGCGAAACUAUGAACCAGACUUAUUGGGCGGAAGUCUCUCACACUAUUGGCCCCCUCCACCUUGGGCAGAAGAGUGAUGAAUGCUGAAUUCAGCGAACCCAAGUUUCUGAAAUUUCUGGCCCAAAUGCAGCGAAUGGCUGCCAUAAAAUCAGCCAUGAUGACCGACCAACAACACUUGUAAAAUCUACCAGUGAACCCAUCAGGACCCGGGGAUUUGUCCGAAGGGAGGGCCUUAAUUGUAUCCCAGACCUCCUCCACCGAGACAGGCGCAUCCAGGGCAACGAGGUCAAAGGAUGGCAUCCCAAGAGCAUCCAGAUCAACUGUAACAUCCCUUACUUCUGCAGUUCCAAGUAACCCUUGAUAAAAAUUAAAGAAGGCUGCUGCCUUUCCUUCAUGGGCAGUCCAGAUUUGCCCAUCCUCUGAGUGUAUUGCUGCAAUGAAAUUCUUUUUCUUCCUGAACCUUGUUUGUGCAUGAAAGAGAGAUGUAUUGGCAUCCCCAUCUUUGAGCCACCCAAUCCGCGAUUUCAACCUUGCCACGGUACGAGAAAUAGAAGACAGGGCAAGGGAGUGCUUCUUGAGCAUGUUCCGGAGCCACAAUUCAGCAGGAGAUAAAGAGCGGUUGUCCUGCGCAACCUCUAAUUGAUGAAGGAGCUCCCUAGCCAUCUCCAACUGCAGCUUAAUCUUCCCAACUUUUUUGUCGUUCCAGCCCUGCAAACACCUAGCUGUUGCCUUUAACUUCUUAGCGAAGGUAAGUAGAGGGCACGACCCUGCAGGAACAGACGCCCAAGAAUGGGCUACCACAUCAAUAAAUCCCUCCAUCUUAGGCCAAAAUGCUUGGAAAUGAAAUCUCCCUUUUCCUCUGCUGAAAUCAUGAAACCCAAGCAGCAAAGGGCAAUGGUCGGAGUCAUCCGUGGCUGAACUCUGGAGAAGAGAAUCUGGGAAUUGUUCCUCCCAAUCUGUUGUGCAGAAAACCCUAUCCAAUUUGACCAGGGUAGGAUUAGAGUGACCAUUCGACCAUGUAUAUUUCCGGCCAACCAACGGAAUUUCAUUAAGGGCCAAAUCAUUUGCCCAUCUCCUGAACCUGCCCAUCAUGGCACGGUCUAAGUUAUUAUUAUUCUUCUCUUCCUCCCUUAAGAUCAGAUUAAAAUCCCCCAGCACAAGCCAUGGCCCAGUACAAAGAGCCCUAAUUUCUCUAAGAGAUUGUAGAAAUUGAAUCUUCUCUUGAUUCCCUUGCGGACCGUACACACAUGUAAGCCACCAAGGAGGGCUGGUGCUUGAAUGAAAGUUCACAGAGACGCUAUGACCGUCCACCCUGCUACUAGCACAAAUACCAAUGCUAUUUUUCCAAGCCACCAAGAUGCCACCACUAGCACCAACAGAUGGUAGGAAAACAAAAUUGUCAAAAGCAGGACCAAGCAUCCGCAAUACAAGGAACCGAGAAAUAUCCACCAUUUUAGUCUCUUGAAGACAAACCACAUCAACUCGAGCAGAAUCCACCAAAGUACGAACAGCAUCCUGUCUAGCAGACCCAUUAAGACCUCGCACGUUCCAAAUAAGAAAUUUUGAAGGAUCCAUAAGAGAUGAAAAGAGAAACGACUACCAGGGAGGGACCCAACAAAUCAGCAGAUUGGUCCGCCCUGCAGCACCUCCAAAGGCCUAGACCAGCCGAAUAACGCUGCCAUGGCCGUGACCUGUACCUCAGAAAGCCCUUUGCUGAAAACUCUGGCAUACUCAUCAAGGUCUUCUGGCCUAAUAGUCACAGCCUCAUCAGCCUUCACAAUACCAAGUUCCUUCAAAAUACGUUUCUUGCCCUGUGUGGCCGGUGGAGGAGUAGGCAGCCUCUCCACACCUGCACCAGCGACCCUUCUACUGCGUCGGGGGAUCACCUCAGUGACUGAAGCCUUGCCCUGUCGCGGCCUUCUGACUGGCGCCCUCAGAAUCCCACCAGCUGGUCUGGUCAGCUUAUCGAUAAAAUCUUUUGCACCCGAAGGGGGGGGGGAGGGGACGGGGACGCGCCAAGCAACUGACUGGGUUGGCUAUCCUUCUUCCUCCUCUGUCGAAAGUAAGUAAUGAUGGGGCCUCUCCGAGAUAGGCGACUCGACGUUCGCGCAUCCACCAAGGCUGACAUCUGCCCUCCCAUGUCGAGAGUGGCCCGAGACGGAGAUCCCAGGGGUGACCCCUGAAUUGCCUGCUCCUUCUCACAACCACCCAAAGAGCAACAAACUGCCGGAGCCCUCAAGGGUGAAGAGGGGGAAGAUGGAACUGGCAGGGGGGAGUGAACUGGGCAACCACCGGACAGCCCCGACGCCCCAGCCUCCACCAUGCAGGCCUGCUCAUGACUCCUGCCGAAACCGUCCACAUUAUCUUCAGACGCCUCAAUCAAAGCCUCAAUAUUUAAUUCCUUGACAGCAGGGACAAGCUCCUCUAAAUUAGAAGAACCAGAAAAAGAUGUCUCCUUUGAAACCUCCUGUUCCAGCACUUCCUGUGAAAUAGCCACGUGGCGGGGACAGACUGGCAGCGGACCUAGUCUCUCAUGCACGGGGCGCCGAACGGCCAACGCUUCGGCAGGGCCUCCCUGCCCUGCCGGAGGAGCUUGCUGCAGGCGACGUCGACGAGACCUAGUGUCUCGAUCAUCAUCAGACGCCGGCGGCGACGGGGGAGGGGAAACCUCGCCCGCCGGCGGAGAGAUCAGAGACACCGAGGCCGUCACCUGAUAAGCCAGAAGAUUCUUCACAGUGGCCUCCACUUCAAAACUCUGAACCGGCUCCGGAAUCAAUAGAUCAACAGCAACCGGAAUGAGCUCUGGAUGCCGGCACCAACCAAGAACCCUGAAGGAGGAUAAGUUCAGACGAGCAGCAGUGUCGGGAUGAAGCUCCAAUGCCGUGCAGUGCGCUCGCAACAAACUUCUAGCAGUUUCCACACUCCAUGCAUGCAACGGGACUCCCUCGAAGCUCACAGACACGAAGGAAGGCAGGGAAACCGCUUCAGCGUGUGCAAGCCUUGACCACUUGAUGAACUUGAAAGACCCAGAAGGUGAGUUGAGAACAGCUCCGUUGUUGAAUAUACGCAAUGCUGCUUGCUCAUUUUGCAAGAUAAUAACGAAAUCUUCAGGCGCCGAACGGUGGACUGAAAAACUUGCAGGAUCAAGCUCAUACUCCGCUGUAAUUUCUGCCGCCAAAAGCUCAGCAGUCACCGGCGGCCGUGAACCAAUGACCACGGCGAACAGAGCACAACGCCGAAGAUUGUUCUCCACCAAAGUUAAAUCCCUUGCACGCUCAAGGACGCAAACCGGCCGUGCCGCCAAGCCUGCAGUCUUCACCACAGCCGACUGAUGAGAGGGUAGCCGAACGGAGCUGUCAUCAUCCACUGGUGGCAAGUUAGCAGCGCUCCUAGAACGGGGCCUUCUCCCCCUGGUACGAUGUCGACCCUUCCUGGAGUGAAUCAUCGACUGACCAGGCCCGUCCUCAGCAGCAGCUUGCCUUCCAUGAUCCAUGGGAGGGGAGACCCUCCGCCAAACCAGCCUCCGCUUAGAGAACGGAACUGAAACCUCCACUGGUUGACUGCCUAAGCGCUCCCACACAGGACGGCGGGCGACGAGUGGAAGCAGGACUGGACCGCCAGACGGAACCUUGGUCACGUCGUGCCCACGAUCGGCGCCAGGACAAUCAGCAGCACGGUGGCCCGGCCGUCGGCAACGCAAGCAGCAGGACGGACGUCGGCAUGCAGCCGCACGAUGGGACGUCGCCAAGCAGUUGAAACACCUCCCCCGGAGAUCCUGCGGGACCGGUCGACGGGGAAGGGGAAGGCGGGGGCGCUCAGCCAGACGACGACGACGACGGGACCACCUAGUCUCCACUUGAAUCCAGCCCUCUGCGUCUGAAGGCGGCGAGAUCCCUUGCAGACGACGGUCACCAGGGCAGUCCUUCAACCUCACGAUCGGGACGGACCACGCCGAAGAGACGCGAGAAGAGGUCGCCGGCCUAGCACGAGCUGCCGGCCGAACACGAACCGCCGGCUGGGAGAGCAGAGCUGCACAGAAGGUCUUUGCAGCGGACGUCCCACCAAGCCCACAAGCCGGUGAGAGAGGGCCGGAGUCCGCCCAUCGCUGUGCCUUGGAUCGCCCGGCCGGGAGAGACGGCACAACAGCAGCGGACGACGAAGAAAAAGGGGGAGGCGCGCAGGGAGAAGGUGAGAAGGCCGCCGGGAAGGAAGCAGCGGCCGGGAAGGUGGUCGCCGAGCCCGGGGUGGACGUCAACGAGAGGCUGUGGGGAGGGCAGGGGACGGCGCCGGCGAAGGAGGGGAGGGUGGAAGACGAGGCGCGAGGGGAGGGGGACGAGGCGACCCGGGCGGGAGCCGAGGCGGCCAGGGCGGGAGCCGAGGCGGCCAUGUUCAGAUGGGUAGAAACUUAAGAGCAUACUUCUUGACUUAUCAGGUCCACACACAAAAACGAAAAAUUAUCUAACAUUUGUUCUAACAAAUGAAACCUCGUCCAGCCACUAGACCACAUUCACACGCGCAGACGUAUCCAUGCAGAUCCUAUUUUUAUGGUAGAUCCCAUAAUUAUGGUAGAUCGUGAGAGUUUCUAUUGCAUGUGCGUUAAUUUUGAAUGACAUUUUCGUUUCCACUGCAUGCCACUGGUUUGAUUUGAAUGUUUUAUUUUCUCUAUAAAUAUAGGAUCUCUCCAACAGCCAUGCAGCUAGCCUCGUUAUAAUCAAUUUAUGGUAUAUACUGAUACUAAUUAUGAUACACAGUCUAGGUAUUUAUGCAAUGUGAUAGGCUGCAUAAAAAUUUGUUUUCUAUUGCAUGCGUACAAAUUUAGGAUAACAAGGAUGUGCGUGGAAGGAAAUGGAUUUGUAUGCAUGAAAAUAAAAAAAUCUGACUUAAAUGCUUUAUUUCCUCUAUAGAUAUAUGAUCUCUCCAACGGCCAAACCGCUAGGCUCGUUAGAACCAGUUUAUGAUAUAUAUUGAUACUAAUUAUAAUACACGGUGUACAAUGGCAUAGCUAGGAUAUUUUCAUGAGAUAUGCCAUAAGAAAAUUUUUAGAAAUAAUUUACUAUAAUCCAUAAUAAUUUAAUAUACGAAUAUGAAUAUAAAGAUAAAAAUAGCAUAUGAAACUAUAGUUUUAACAUUUAAGUCUAUUAUGCAUACAUUAUAAUGCAAAUUAAUAUGAAAUAGCCCAAACAUCAAGAACAAAAUAUACUAAUGAACGUCAGAUUUACAUAAUUAAAAUGUCCAAUCACUGUAUUUUACAAGUAAAUUGAUAGAACACAAUCUCAAAAUCAUUUCAUUACUAAUGAACUUUAGAUUUACAUAAUUAAAAUUGUAAAGAUAAAAAAUAGAGUUUAUUAAAAAAUUUAACCUCUCUUGUUGCGGCCUAUGGGGCGAUGCUCGGGCUUGGCCGCCUCGGCCGGAGAACUGAGAUGGCGGGACACAGGAGCAGGUGGCCUGGUGCAGUAUCCACAUGUUUGGUUUCUGUAUUUGGAGAGUCAGGCCAACUUGGCCCGUACGCGCAGAGCCUGCAUGCGCAGCGCAACUACCCUAGUGGGUAUGGCCGUAGCUUGGUUCAAGGCCACCUUUUGCAUGAGCUAAUGCACGCCAUGUCAACAACCCAGUCAACCAAACAAGAAAAAAAAUAAAAAAAUCAUGUAUCCCAUGACACAGAUCAAACAAAUGCAGAAACCAAUCACACGUAUGUGGCUCCACACACGCUCUGAAGUUAUGAGCAUAAAUUAUCAAUCCAACCUGAAAGUUGUUUGCAAACCUCUUGAUUUGGCAUAGAUAUACAUACAAAGUGACAUAAAAAUAUGUAUGAGAUUGUAUGUCAUCCCUACACCACGAACAUGCAUUCAGGCGCAUCCCCACCAGACGCAUGCAUGUAGUCCUAUUUAUUUGGCACUUCUGAACAAUAUGGCAACCACUAGGCACAUGCACGUGGUUUUUAUUUUUAUACAAAUCCAAAAAUUAUGACAGCUCAUAAAAGUUUUCAUUGCAUUCACAUAAAUUUUCAUUGCAUGUGCACAUAGCAUCCCCUCAUGCCGAACCACGCGUAUGCAUGCGCACGUGCACCAUCGAGUGACUCUUUCCCCCGAAAAAAUUGAAAACUGAUUUUACUAUUGUGCUUGUCGCGAUAAAAACUUUAAAACUGAUCUCACUUGACAUAUGUAUCUCAAGUUUUAUUAGGGUCAGUCAUUCUAUCUUUUAACUUCAGUAUUUCAUAGGGAUUAUUAGGAUAACGGUAACGGUAAGUGAGUCAGUCACUCUACAAAAAAUAUGCAUUACGAGGAAGGAAUUUAUCGAACUCGGUCAUUCUCUGAAUACUCAAUCAUUCCAUCUUUUUAGUCUUAGUCAUUUAUGAGAAUAAUUGAGAUAGAAGUCAUUUAGUGAGUCAGUCAUUGUACAAAAAACAGUCAUUACAAGAAAGAAAGUGAAACUCAGUCAUUCCAUGAAUGCUCAGUCCUUCCAUAUUUUUAGCCUCAGUCAAUAAUUGAGAAAGAAGCAUGUCGGUAUCCUAAAUCAGGGGUACCCCUUACUAGAGUAUGAAGACACGGUGCCCGCGCGGCUAUCUCUAGUCGCGUGGUGAACAACAGACGACCCCACCACGUGGACAGAUCCAGGGCCGCCACGUGGCCGGAUAAGACGAUAUAUUCCAGCAUAUCGGCAGAGGGUCCGGACCCCCAUGGGAAAGUGUCGGACCCCUAUACGUACGGACCGGACCUCCGGGCAAGGUCCAGAACCUCCACGGGCGUGCCCGGGCCCCCUGUGCAGGGUCCGGGCCACUCACAGCAAGGUCCGGGAUUCCGGGGCAAAGAAUACCCAGGCCUUGACCAAGGCUAGGCAGGGGUCCGGAGCUGACACGUGUCUGGACCAUACCGCGUAGGCUUCCGCUCCCCGCUCAGGCGGAGUCCCGAUCUGCCGCGUGGCCGACCGCCCGUGACGUAAGCCAACGGGUGGAGCCUGAAUUAAGGCCUCUGGGCCGCGCGUCCUCUGCAUUUAUUGCGGAUGAGUCGCGCCGCCUGCCAGCAUUAAAUGCGUCAUGUCUACUCCACUGACAAGCGAUGUGCCGCCUCAGCAUUAAAUGAGCCAUGUCCACUCUGCUGACGGGCGGCGACCAGGCCAUCCUGCAGGAGGCGUGCCUGUCCAUUCCGGUGGCAGACAGUACGCCUGUGCUGCGGCAUACGUUGUGCUCAUCAUCACUCAUACGUCCCCAGGGAAGCUUCCGCGGCACGCCAAUGCUACGUAGACCGCGGAUAUCAGAGCGCAAGGAGAUUGCACUGGCAACCAGCAUUAGUUGUUCCAAGUAUUACAUCUGUUAUGUCCCUGGGCCCCAAUGAUUUCAAGUCGCCUGGUCGCCUGGUCGAUCCCUGGGACCGACCAGACGACUAGUCGCGAUUAGGCGACGACUAGGGCGAUUAGUCGACUCCUAGUCGGUCCUAGUCGUUCCCUGGUCGUCCUAGUUUAGUAGUUAUACUUAUAUAGCUAUAUAUAUAAAUGUACAUGUAUACAACUACAUUAUAUAAAUUAGAAAGUCACUACUUAGCACAGCCUUAGGAUUAGGGCAGCCAACAACCAUCCACUAAUUUGGCAGAACUGCAGAGAAGGGGGAGAUGGGGGGAGAGCAGGAGGAACCUUGAGAUAACGAGCUCAUCUCCUCAAUGGUGCAGGUCUGCUGGAGCUUGGGAAGGGACAGGGUGGAGACUGCAGCUAGUGAACCUUAAGACAGUUGCCGCAGGUGGAGACUGCAGCAGGCGAGCAGGGGAAGGGCAGGGUGGUGUAGCCGCUGAUGAUGUAGCCGCCGGUGAGCUGUAGGUCUGUAGGGGCAGCCACCAGCGACCAAGUGUGAAUAAGGGCUGGAACAGUCGAGCUAGCAAGAGAGGAGAGUAGGAGACGCAGUGCACUGUUUGGCGGCUAGGUAUUACAGAGGAGACGAGAGGAGAGGGUAGUCUAAAGUAUACUGUAGAUGGCUGAAAAUGGCCCAAUAACAAAACCUAGCCAGGACGACCAGGAAACAGUAAUCGGGCGAUUAGUCGCCCUAAUCGGCGAUUAGUCGGACGACCAGGACGACCAGCCUAUCUAGUCGAGUCGUCCAGCUAAUUGAGCCCAAAUAGCCGACCAGCCCGACUAAUCGCGACUAAUCGCGAUUAGUCGGACAACUUGAAAUCAUUGUUGGGCCCGCAUGUCGGGGCUCAGCACCCAUGUACGUGCCCCCUUGAGCUAUAAAAGGGGAGGCACGCAAUGCUCACUAAGACUCAGAUACACUUAGACCCAGCUCAGGCUCACAAGUUCAUACAAGCUGCCUUUGGGUUGUCUUUUGCUCUUUUAUUUGAACCCUUCCUUGGACUUUUAUUGAUUUGUGUUGAACCUUUGGCACCUGUAGAACUCAUAAUCUAGAGCAAACUAGUUAGUCCAAUUAAUUUGUGUUGGGCAAUUCAACCACCAAAAUUUAUAUAGCAAAAGGUGUAAGCCUAUUUCCCUUUCAGGUGCUGUCGCUCAGGACGACAAAAAGAAGAAGAAGAAGAACCACAGCUCCGAGAGGCCACCGUCUGCCGCUCCGAUCGUCGCAGCUGCGAUUGGGGGCCGAAACGAGCACAACAAGCGCCCACGGCCGCAGAGGGGUAACAGCGGCUCAUGCCCUGUACACCCCAACUGUCGCCAUAGUGCCACGGAGUGUCGCGAGAUCAUCGAACUCGCGAAGCGCGUCAGCGAACGGUGCGAGCAGACCUCCAAGGAUGGCUCCCCUCCUCGCCGUCGGCCUGGCGAGGAAAGGGUCAACAGCGGCAAGGUAGCUGUGGGAGAACCGGACCUCUGGUAUCAGUCACCCGAGGAGGUCCUGAAGGAUGUUUUCACCGGAGACUCCGACCCUGGCGAUGACAACUAGUCGGGCCACCGGGGAGACCCCGUCCUUCCUAGUCUAUGGGGCUGAAGUCUGCCUUCCCCCAGAAACCUUUAUGGGCUCCUCACGGGUCUAGUAUUUUAACGAGUCUAUGCAGGAAUAGUCGCGGUGUAAGGACGUGGACUUGACCAAUGAACACAGAUGGCAAGCGGCAACCUAAAAUGCACGAUACAACCAAGCACUUAGGCGCCACCGCCAGCGGAUCGUGCAUGGUAAGGGACCCCGGGGUCCGGGACCUAGUCCUACGACGAGUACUGAACCGAGAAGGGCUCCACAAACUCUCCCCCAGUUGGGAAGGACCCUUCAAGGUGACGGAAGCAUGCCGACCCGGGAGUGCCCGCCUCGCCACAACUGAGGGAGUGCCUCUUCCCAAUCCCUGGAACAUAGAGCAUUCCUGUAAGUCCUACCCACAGAAGCAAGUCCGAGGGGUUAUGAUUCCUUCUUGUAACUAGGUUGUGCAUACGUGUACGCCAGCCCGGUGAGGUCCGCCCUCAUAAGCCCGGCCUGUUGGUCUGCACUCAUGCAUGUCAAGUUAUAAGGAAAAAAAUACCCCCCUCAGAUGUGCCCCUGUGAUGGUUUUAUUCUGCCACAGAUUCCAGAUAUUGUCAUUUUUUAUCUAACCCACCCAUACGGUUCCCAUCCCUGCUGACAUGAUGACAUCCGAAUUGAGUAGUCAGGCUUGCAGUUUAGGACCCCUCUGCGAAAGCAGGAGGGUCUGGCAGCCUGGGGGCCGGCUCUGGAGAACGGGAGCUCGUUCCAUGGAGUGGUCCAGAGCUGCGUAGCCGCUUAGCCCGGUUCCGUACCCUAGGCCUACGCAAUCCACCACUCUGUGACGGGUACCCUAGUAUUUGGAGCUAUAGUCCUGUGGGUCCGGUAACCUAGGGUCCGGUUCUAGAGAAUGGACGCUUGUCUCCUGGGGUGGUCCGGAGCCGUGUAGCCGCUUAGCAUGGUCCCAUACCGUAAGCCUGCACACUCCACCACUCUGCGACGGGUGUCCUAGUAUCUAGAACCGCGGUCCAGGGGGUACGGACACACAACUUGGCUUCCCAUACUAAAUCCUGUAGGUCCCGUGCCUAUAUCAAAGGAUGGCUAGUAUCAAGCGGUGGGUCCUAUGAUGUGCAACUAACGCUCCCUAGCCGAAGCUGUGCUCAAGUCCAGGUCCUAGUCGAGGCUGCCUCCUGGGAGCCGUUGCCAACUCUUUUAGGUAUGCUGGUAUCCAGCCUCGACAUGUUGAGCCUACAUCCCAGGGGGGCCAAGUACCAGGGAGGAGUCGGCAACGCCACACACAACAGGGACAAAUAGUAUGCAGAUAAGUGCUAAUACUGCUCGAUAAGUAGUACUCAAAAGUACCUUACAAAAACAAAGUGAUUACAUCCGCCUUCAAGCGGGGCCCUAGCCUUAUGUCUACAGGUAUGACCUACUCGACAUCAGUAGGGUCGCGAUGGAAGUGCGCGACCGCCAUCUCCUUGAGGCUGAUGAACAUCCUUGAAAGAGAUGGGCCAGCGGUCACCGUUGGAGGCGGCACCGAUGCCAUCAAAGCCAAAGAGAUGGAGCCGCAGCUCAGCUCGCUUCCCACCUCAUGGAGUUGGAGCUAGACCAGUUCAUGGUGGUGUACCAUGGGAUGCUGGUGAAGCUCACGCGAAAGAUGGAGCCGCAGCUCAGCUAGCCUUCCGCCUCCGGAAGGUCGCUGCGCAACACCCAUUCCUCCGAAUGCUGGAGGAAGAAGCGUCGCCCCCACGGACAUCUUGCAGUGGUAGGCGAUGAUGGCCGCCUGAAGGAUGAAGCAGGGCGUAAAGUGCUGAGGUUGGAGGCCAAGCUCCUCCAGCAGCAGCACGAAGAAAGACGAGAUCGGCAGCACCAACCCGCAGGAGAGGUUGGAGACGAAGAGCACAAACUCCCCGGCGGCGAGAUCGUCAUGAGGAGAAGCGCCGACACGGAUCCUUCCGGCGAACGCCGGCGCACCCCAUCCGAGCAGGUUGCGCACCAAGUCGAGUGCCACCUCGGACUGGAAGCACUCGGGAGGGUCUAGCAAGGCCAUGGCGGCUACAGCGGCAGAAGAGCGCGGAGAACUCGAGGGCGAAAGGGCGUUGCGAGUGAUGAGAAUGGCUACCACGCUCGGGAGAAUCCCUUUUUAAAGAAAUAUUCCCCCACUGACGCCCCGAGACGCCGCAGAAGAUCUCGCCCGACGAGCGCCAAGGUGACCCAGCCUCUGGCACAGGGGCCCGGGCCCACGAGUCAUCCUCCUUGGGCGUCGGUCUCCGUGUGCGAAGAAGGCUAACCGCCACGCGAGGAGCGAACCGCCGCGCCUCUUCAUCUCCGCCGAAAGCAGCGGGCCAGCCUCUGACACGGGGGCCCGGGCCCACGAGUCAUCCUCCUUCGGAAUCGGUCUCCGUGUGCGAAGAAGGCGAACCGCCACGCGAGGAGCGAACCACCGCGCCUCUUCAUCUCCGCUGAAAGUAGCGGGCCAGCCUCUGACACGGGGGCCUGGGCCCAUGAGUCAUACUCCUUGAGUGUCGGCCUCCGAGUGCGAAGAAGGCGAAUCGCCGCGGAGGGGCAGGCCGCCGCCCGUGGUAGUACGUCUCUUCACCUUCGCCGAAACCAACAACCCAGUCUCUGACACGGGGGCCCGGGCCCACGAGUCAUCCUCUCUGGGCACCGGUUCCUGGGUGCAGAGAAGUCGAACCACCGCUCGCGCCAGUACCGCGUCUUAUCGAGGCACCCCGCACGUGGCCCAGCAAAACCAUAAAGUGCGAAGGCCACGUGUCAGUCAGCCGCGGGGACAUGCGUGACAGUUGGCGUGACCGAAGGCGAACUGGCAGUAAUUAUGUCAGCAAGCGCAGAGAAGCAGCGUGCCAAUCGCCAAUCAAGCUUUGGCCCCACCUGCAGGCUCGUUUCCUCCCCUGAUGCGGGCCCGGGGGCCACUGUCGGUACCCUGAAUCAGGGGUACCCCUUACUACAGUAUGAAGACAUGGUGCCCGCUCGGCUAUCUCUAGUCGCGUGGUGAACAACAGCCAACCCCACAACAUGGACAGAUCUAGGGCCGCCACGUGGCCAGAUAAGACAAUAUAUUCCAGGAUAUCGGCAGACAGUCCGGACCCCAUGGGAAAGUGUCGGACCCCUGUACGUACGGACCGGACCUCCGGGCAAGGUCCAGAACCUCCACGGGCGUGCCCGGACCCCUGGGACGGGUCCUGGACCCCCUGUGCAGGGUCCGGGCCACUCACAGCAAGGUCCCGAGAUUCUAGGGCAAAGAAUACCCAGGCCUUGACCAAGGCCAGGCGGGGGUCCGGAGCUGACACGUGUCCGGACCAUAUCGCGUACACUUCCGCUCCCCGCUCAGGCGGAGUCCCGAUGCUGCCGCGUGGCCGACCGCCCGUGACGUAAGCCAACGGGCAGAGCCUGACGUAAGGCCUCUGGGCCGCGUGUCCUCCGCAUUUAUUGCGGAUGAGGCGCGCCGCCUGUCAAACUGGCAGGCGAUGUGUCGCCUCAGCAUUAAAUGCGUCCUGUCUACUCCACUGACAAGUGAUGUGCCGCCUCAGCAUUAAAUGAGCCCUGUCCACUCUGCUGACGGGCGGUGACCAGACCAUCCUGCAGGAGGCGUGCCUGUCCAUUCCGGUGGCAGGCAGUACGCCCGUGCUGCGGCAUACGUUGUGCUCAUCAUCACUCGUACGUCGCCAGGGAAGCUUCCGCGGCGCGCCAAUGCUACGCAGACCGCGGAUAUCAAAGCGCAAAGAGAUUGCACUGGCAACCAGCAUUAGUUGCUCCAAGUAUUACAUCCGUUAUGUCCUUAGGCCCGCAUGUCGGGGCUCAGCACCCUUGCACGUGCCCCCCUUGAGCUAUAAAAGGGGAGGCACACAAUGCUCACUAAGACUCAGAUACACUUAGACCCAGCUCAGGCUCACAAGUUCAUACAAGCUCUCAAGCUCAAUAUAUCACACAGUGGAGUAGGGUAUUACGCUCCGGCGGCCCAAACCACUCUAAACCCUUAUGUGUUCUUGUGUUCGUUCAUCACUUAGUAGACAUGCAAAACGCUUAGGCCCCUCCUCAUCUUAGGAUUUAGGGCGGGUGCGUUCCGCCACCUGACCGGAGAAUUUCCUCUCCGACAAAGCCAUUUGGUGAGUCCGUCAUUCUAAAAAACAAGCAUUACAAGAAAUAAAGUGAACAAACUCAGUCGUUAUAUGAAUACUCAGUCAUUUCAUCUUUUAGCCUCAGACGUUCAUGAGAAUAAUUGAGAUAGAAGUUAUUUAGUGAGUCAGUUAUUCUAAAAACCAUACAUUACAUGAAAGCAGGUGGCAAACUCAGUCAUUUUAUAAAUACUCAGUCAUUCUAUCUUUUAGCCUCAGACAUUCAUGAGAAAUACUAAGAGAUAAGUCAUUUUAUAAGGUGAGUUAUUCUAAAAACAGACAUUACAAGAAAGGAAGUGGACAAACACAAUUAUUCUAGUUAGUUGUCCGUUUAUUGCUAUGGUUUCUAGUUAUCAUUGUCUUGUAUGGUCACAAUUAGCGAGAGGAUCUAUGGAAAACCUUGGCUUGCCUCAGUAUGAAUUAAGUGGUUGGUAAACCACCAAACAUCUAGAUGAAAAUCGUCAUGUCAACUUGUUUUUCCGUUGCCUUGUAAUUCUCUUACACAAACUUGUAUUAACUUGUUUAUAUAUUUGUGCUUAUGUUGUUAUUCUUGUGUAUCCAAUUUACUUGUGUGUUUGGUUCGUGGCUAACUAGCCACACUUUAACUAAGGUUAGUCAUUUGAAUUGAAUAACUAACCUUAGGCAGAAAAGUUAGGCAAAGUGUGGUAAGUUAGGCAGUGGAGCAAACAGGUCGUAAAUUAGUUGCUCUCUUAUGGUAAUUAUCUGGCGCAGACGCGUAGCUAAGUAUAGUUGUACUAAAGUAGUUACUCUUUUAAAAUGAAAAUUGCGGAUAAAAAGAUUGAUGACGUUAGCUAGCUUGGUAAUUAAUCCAUGAUUUCGAGUAUGUACCAGCUGAAUACGUGUGUCAUUCGGCCUUCACAGUAUUUCCUUUAUAUUAAAGCCGGUUCAAAACGGUAACAAUGAAGCUAUCCACGUUAUCAAGAAAUCAUGCACCGUUUGAUCAGUGGAUGCGUGCCAUCCUAAUCCUCCAAUCUGCAUGCUCCACACAAAUAAAUAAAUUUCCUUUAUAUUAAAGCCGAUUCAACAAUGAAGCUAUCCAUAUCAUCAAGAAAUCAUGCACUGUUUGAUCAGUGGAUGCGUGCCAACCUAAUCCUCCAAUCUGCAUGUUCCACACAAAUAAAUAAAUUUCCUUUAUAUUAAAGCCGGUUCAAAACGGUAACAAUGAAGCUAUCCACGUCAUCAAGAAAUCAUGCACCGUUCGAUCAUUGGAUGUGUGCCAUGCUAAUCCUCCAAUCUGCAUGCUCCACACAAAUAAAUAAAUUUCAUUUAUAUUAAAGUCGGUUCAACAAUGAAGCUAUCCACAUCAUCAAGAAAUCAUGCACCGUUCGAUCAGUGGAUGUGUGCCAUCCUAAUCCUCCAAUCUGCAUGCUCCACACAAAUAAAUAAAUCCUAUGCAUCUCCACAGUGUUGGAGACUUCCAGGCGCUUCUUCUCCUCGCGCUCUCCCUCGCCGCCAUGUUCGCCUUUCUCUGCAGUGGCUCCUGUCGUCCCUCAUCGUCGUCCCACACCUCCCUCGUCUGCAAGCGCUGUCGCCUCCUCGUCUCCAACCCCAUCUGCCGCUUCCAUGUUCACCAUAGGGCGCCUCUCCUCCUCAGCUUCUUCGUCGACGAAGAUGGAGACAUCGAGUUCGUGCCCACACUGCACCAGUUCGAUCGCAUCACCAGCGCGCGAGAGAUGCUCGAUAUUAUGUCCCAACAAAAUGUGGUGUCCUGUACGAUGGUAGCCGUGGGAGUAAGCGCACAUAAGGCGUCCAAAAGAGGCAAUUGAGGUAUUUUGAUGGGUGCAUGUUGAAGGCCUCGAGCCUUGUAGAUUUCCAUUACCGUCAGUCCUUUCGGCCUAUGCAAAUCUACUUACUGUUGAUCUAGGACAGGGAUGCGGGAAUCUUCUUGACCUGAUGGAAUCUGCUUACUCAGUGCUAGUGGAGGUAUUUGAGGAUAUGAAGAAUAAUGUCUGAAUUGGACCACACUAAUUGUUGUUGACAUGUUCUGCCAUAUGGAGAUGGAGAAUAGGUCACCAAGUGAUGCCACAUUUCUUUGCAACCUUAUCAGCGUCUAUCCAUAUUUGACUAUCUAAUCUUAACGACAUGAUGUUUAUUCUUCUCGGAUUCUCAAAGGGGAACACUCACAUUCCAAGUGCCUCUCUCAAGGUGCCCAAGACAUACUAAGCAAAAAUCAUGUAUCCUAACUUGAUUACAUGCAUAGAUGCGGAUGGAAUAGGGGCAUAUGAUUGGUUCAAUCAAGGCCAUGCUCCUAUUGUGCCAUUUUAAUGCUAAAGAAUAAGAUAUCAGCAUCGCUGAAAACAACCUGAACAUAACCCAGGUAACCUAUGUCAAUUGUACUUACAUUUUCCAUAUCCAUGGUUUUAGGCUUCUACGAGACUGAUAAAGACUGAAAUUUGUCUAUGUUUUUUAAAGCAUACUAACAUUCAAGACAAGAUAGCAAUAAACCAAAUCAAUACUCCUAGCUCAUUGGAAUGUCCUCCUGCCUUAAUUUAUCCAGAUUCUUUGAGAAAGAGGUAAGCUCAAUGUUUGUUUCAGUCUAAUUUUUUAGUAUUUUUUAAUUUCUUCGCAUCUACUAAAGAAUUUAAAUUUGAACUAUGUCUCAGGAGAAGCAUUUGAAUGAUUACAGAACAAGAUGGUUUUACAAAUACUUUUGAUCUCACCCAACUGUGUGGUAUUUAUAGUUUGCUCAUUUGUAUACAAUCGUCGGCUUUACAACCUUGUUUGCUCAACCCAAAAAAAGGUGGACAGAGACUGUCUGUUUCAUCACUCACCAAGCACACCCAACUUAAAUUUAAGGAGAACAACACAAGAAGACAUGAAGCACCUAAACGGAAGUGAAUAAUUAAUUAACCAUAUAAAACCAUGUCCUCACACGUUAAAGUUGUUUACAUUUCCUCAUAAAUGAAUUUGUACAAAUUCGAACAAGCUUGUCAGCAUGUACGAGUAGUAUUUGUGUUAGAAAAUACAAGAAAAAAAGAUCUCUUAAGUUCUCAACUUUUGCUUGAUCUUGUGUGUUGGACUGUUAGUGUUCAUAUGGCGCAGCCCAAAUAUUCUUGUCCUGUAAUUGAACACAAGAAUCUGUUGAGUUGAUGUGCAGCCUCCUGUAAUUGAACACAAGAAUCUGUUUAGUUGGUGGUCUGGUCAUGGAGCUCAAAUUUGAUCCAAUAUGAAUUAUGAUACGUAUUGCGUACUCUAAAUAUUUAUGUUUAAUUUUUGCAAAAAAAAACUAUAUAAGCCUUAGCUGCAGCUAUAGCUGCUACAGAACCCAUUCGCUAAAAUACCUAGACUGAGAUUUUGAACAUUGAUGGCAGUGAAAGGAAUCAGGCUCCAAAAACAGGGAGCGAGAAUAUGUGUGUUGUCUUGCAAGUCCUCCUUCAUGAACGAGUUGCUUCUUUUAUUUUUUUAAACCUCUAAAUAUCUAUUCAAAAUCAUACACAGUACUUCACUUUGUUCUUCAUGAUAUACAAUUCUCUAAGUCAAAGGAACCUUGUGCCUCCUGUGUUUCCAUGCUUUACUAUUGAAUAAUGAACAUAACUGAUUCGCAAUUAUUUAGAGAAUGUUGUAGGAUUUUCCUAUUCUACCUAAACUAAAGUCACCCCAUCCUUCACCUGUUCAAUUACUCCAUAUGCACAAUUUUUAUAACAGAUAUAUGCACAUUUUUAUAACAAAUAAUUUUGGCAUCAUCAAGUGUAAAAACUUGCAGUGUCGUACUGUCUGCUAACAAAUUGUAAUACAGUUAGUUGUUGUGGGAAAUGGUAAUAUUUGUUGUUGUUUGAGCUGUCUUCUUUAAAUAAUGAACAUUGCAUUGAAGUUUUGUAGCUCAGUAGGAUGCCAUUGCUUUAUUUCUUCUUGCCAAUCUUUUGAGUGUCUAUAACUGAUUGACGCAGCCAUCCUGAAUUUUGAGAUGCAUCUGUUACAAUGGAAUCCUAUGUCAUGUACUCCUGCAAUACUUUUAUUUACAAAUAACAAAUCACUACACGCUUUCCACUUCUUUACAAGUAACUUCUUUAUGUAUAUUUUUUUUGCAGUACUUAAUGAGAAAUGGAAAGGUCCAACCGAUACAAUUGAAUAGUUACCCAAAAGGUUAUAUUCUGCAACAUAAUCUCUCAAUCUGUUACGCAUCUACACAUAUACAAUUUCUUUUAGUGUACAUUCGUUCAUAUGAAUUAUUUCGUAGCUGCCAUGAUGUCGUGCUUCCAUUUUUCUGUUUAAUUACUGAAACCAUAGUUCCUUAUAUACGAAAUCUAGUUCAAAACAGCCGCUCUCGCGGUGUCCACGUCGCCCAGAUGUUUUCAGGUGUACGAUUUCCAAUCAAUGGUGAAGGCAAGGUCUUUCUCUCAUGGUCAAUGCAUAUUCUACUUAUCCAGUUCGGCGCCAUCGUUUUGUUCAGUGUUUGCUCGGCUUCGUGGUUUUGGGGUUCGUAUUCUUCGUUUGUGAGAUUCAUCCGAAACUAAAUACCCUUUUUUCCCUUAUAUUUUCUACCUGUUGCUGCGUAUUAAAGAACCUUAUCAAGUUCGACGUCAGUGCCUCCAAGCGUUUUCUCUAGAAACUCUUUCCCUAGCCCCUCACCCUUUUCUCCUCCUCUGUUAGCAGAAUCAACAAUGAGUGUAGUUUGUUUCGUUUUCUAAUUUCUCUACUAUUCGUUCCCCAAAUAUUUUAUUUUUAAAUCAGGAAAAAAGGGGUUACUUACCUCUUUUUGGUUUUCGAUUUUUGUUGUUCAGAUUCUAAUCCUCUUUUCCUUUUUAAUCUAGAAAAGGAGGGGUUGUCUACCUCUUUUGGUUUUUGAUUUUUGUUGUCUAGAUUCUAAUCAUGUUUUCCUGCAAAGAAAGUACGUGGUUGGGCAGCGAGCAAGUGGCGUUUCUAUACGCGGAAGUAAGUCCUAUCAUAGUGUCUGCUUGAAAGUGCCUUGCGAUUUGUUGCUUCGCUUAAUGACAUGCAACAAAACAACAAGGGGAUUAACAUUUUACUUUCAAUACUUUAGACCGGCACUCAUGUCCGUUUUUGUAUUCAAUAUUGAAGGCCAAUUUCUGGCUUCUCUUUGCAAUGUGCUUUGUUGGGAUUGAAUCUAGAAUCAUUGUUCUUAAUAAUCUAGCACAAAUAUGAACUACUGCAGGUGCUGCCGACACCACCAUCUUGCUCUUUAUCUUCAGUAUCUGCAACUUUUUUGGCUGACUGGGGGAGGUGUUCUUAUUCCUGAGUCCCUUAGCUGAGGGUGAAAGGGCUAUAAAGCCAAGAAGAGGAAGAAGGGGUGAAGAAUUCAGGUUUUCGGAAGCAAUACUGAAGACUAUUUUUUGGUUUCUCUUUGCAAUAUGCUCUAUUGGGAUUGGAUUUUCAAUCACUGUUAUUAAUAAUCUAACACAAAUAUGAGUUGUUGCAUGUCAUGUCGACACAACCAUCUCACUCUCUGCCUUCAGUUUUUGCAAUUUUUGGCUGCCUGGGAGGUGUUGUUGUUCCUGAGUAUCUUGUCAGGUAACAGGAUAUUUCAUAUUUACUCUUGGAAAUAAUUGCUUUUGUAUGGUGAACCAUGCACAAUUAAACAUAGAAAAAUCAUGUUCCUUUGGUGUGAUUGGGUGGAAUCCAACGAUAAGAUGUAUGUUACUGUCAAACUUUGUAUGAAUGAUUUAGUCUACAUUUUGGAAGUGUCAUUCAUAGUUGAUGUUAGAAAGUGUACCACGACUAUCGUCUGGCAGAUAUGUCGGCCGACCUGUAUGGAAGUGUUGUCUCUGAUAUAGAUAGAGAGGAUUAGGGGGAUCUCAAUCCCUCUGAUUGAGGAUCUAAUUCUAGUCUCAAUCCCUAUGAUUGAGGAUCUGAUUCUAGUCUAGGAUCUUUCCUUAGGUGUAGAAGUUUUCCUUUUACCUCUCACCUUCCUCCCCUAUAUAUACUUGUACAUGUAAUGUCUAUUAUCAUCAAUACAAACACACGCUUUCAACUCA
Molecule: long non-coding RNA, 25158 nt
Filed under: Zea mays
Lineage: Eukaryota; Viridiplantae; Streptophyta; Magnoliopsida; Poales; Poaceae
Description: long non-coding RNA (ZMAY_LNC000034)
Source: RNAcentral